UACAGAGGAUGCAAGCGUUAUCCGGAAUGAUUGGGCGUAAAGCGUCUGUAGGUGGCUUUUUAAGUCCGCCGUCAAAUCCCAGGGCUCAACUCUGGACAGGCGGUGGAAACUACCAAGCUGGAGUACGGUAGGGGCAGAGGGAAUUUCCGGUGGAGCGGUGAAAUGCGUAGAGAUCGGGAGGAACACCAGUGGCGAAGGCGGCUUCCUGGACCAGUACUGACGCUGAGGCGCGAAAGCUAGGGGAGCAAACAGG
RNAcentral lists this ribosomal RNA (253 nucleotides) under uncultured bacterium. RNAcentral's name for it is "partial 16S ribosomal RNA". It matches the Rfam family "Bacterial small subunit ribosomal RNA", at positions 524 to 776 of the family's 1533-position model. The record is from RNAcentral.